RNAcentral lists this ribosomal RNA (468 nucleotides) under uncultured bacterium. RNAcentral describes it as "partial 16S ribosomal RNA". It matches the Rfam family "Bacterial small subunit ribosomal RNA", at positions 28 to 507 of the family's 1533-position model. The record is from RNAcentral.
GAUGAACGCUGGCGGUGUGCUUAACACAUGCAAGUCGAACGGAAAGGCCCUGCUUUUGUGGGGUGCUCGAGUGGCGAUCGGGUGAGUAACACGUGAGUAACCUGCCCUUGACUUUGGGAUAACUUCACGAAACUGGGGUUAAUACAGUAUAGGAGCCCCCCCCGCAUGGUGGGGGGUGGAAAGUUUCGGCGGUUGGGGAUGGACGUGCGGCUUUUCAGCUGGUUGGUGGGGUAGUGGCUGACCAAGGCUUUGACGGGUAGCCGGCCGUUGAAGGUGGCCGGCCACAUUGGAACUGAGAAACGGCCCAGACUGCUACGGGGGACAGCAGGGGGAAGUAUUGCCCAAUGGGCAGAAGCCGGAUACGGAGGCGUCGCGUGCGGGAUGACCGCCUUCGGGGUGUAAACCGCUUCCGCCUGUGACGAAGCGUGACUGACGGUAAUGGAUAAAGAAGCACCGGCUAACUACGUG